ACUGAACGCUGGCGGCAGGCCUAACACAUGCAAGUCGAGCGGAUGAAGGGAGCUUGCUCCUGGAUUCAGCGGCGGACGGGUGAGUAAUGCCUAGGAAUCUGCCUGGUAGUGGGGGAUAACGUCCGGAAACGGGCGCUAAUACCGCAUACGUCCUGAGGGAGAAAGUGGGGGAUCUUCGGACCUCACGCUAUCAGAUGAGCCUAGGUCGGAUUAGCUAGUUGGUGGGGUAAAGGCCUACCAAGGCGACGAUCCGUAACUGGUCUGAGAGGAUGAUCAGUCACACUGGAACUGAGACACGGUCCAGACUCCUACGGGAGGAAGCAGUGGGGAAUAUUGGACAAUGGGCGAAAGCCUGAUCCAGCCAUGCCGCGUGUGUGAAGAAGGUCUUCGGAUUGUAAAGCACUUUAAGUUGGGAGGAAGGGCAGUAAGUUAAUACCUUGCUGUUUUGACGUUACCAACAGAAUAAGCACCGGCUAACUUCGUG
Molecule: ribosomal RNA, 484 nt
Filed under: uncultured bacterium
Lineage: Bacteria
Description: partial 16S ribosomal RNA
Rfam family: Bacterial small subunit ribosomal RNA
Source: RNAcentral